ACAUCGCUAUUAGAACAUCCUCCUCCCCCGCGCUGCAGGGACCGCACGGCCAUGGUUAUGGAGUUAAGCCACGCAGCGCCAGCAUCCCUUGGAAAGUUUUCCUUCCCCAAAGGCAGCAAGCAGCAGAAGAAAGCGCGGCUUGUGUGGCUGAUGAAGCCAGCCUUUCUGAGAUGUGAUUAAAACCUUUCUCUGAAAGCAUAUGGCUCUACUGCCCUGAAAACUGACCUUGGGAGUGCUUUAAAGAGAGAUGAAAAUGAGAUGGCCUUA
Molecule: long non-coding RNA, 267 nt
Organism: Empidonax traillii (willow flycatcher)
Lineage: Eukaryota; Metazoa; Chordata; Aves; Passeriformes; Tyrannidae
Exons: 3
Source: RefSeq, a predicted model, not a curated record